Xiphophorus couchianus (Monterrey platyfish) is the source of this 1047-nucleotide long non-coding RNA. RefSeq lists it as uncharacterized. The record is from RefSeq and is a predicted model, not a curated record. The transcript has 3 exons. Lineage: Eukaryota; Metazoa; Chordata; Actinopteri; Cyprinodontiformes; Poeciliidae.
CCGGUUUGUUUUGUUCAGUUUUGGCUUUUAUGAGUCAGAAUCUGAAAAGUGUGGAGUGCAUUAGUGUUCAGUCCUGUGUGGCAACGUGCUAGUAGCUCCCGUGGCUGCAGGCUGAGUAAAGGCACGCCACACUUUUCAGAUCAGCUCCUGUUUCUGCUCCAUUGGAGUUAAAAACCCGAUGAAACCGUCUGGAAGUCUGAGCGGGUCGGACGCUGGAAAAGUUCUGGUUCUGAUCUAAACCCGCUGAAACACUUCCUCUGCAGCUUGGUCCGGAUCCAUGGUUCUGGUUCUGGUUCUAUUCUGCAUCAAACUUCUAGAAAACUGAUAAACAGCUGAAACCCCGAGUUACUUUAGAUCCAGACUGAAACCAGUUUGAAGCAUCGAUUCAGAACCAAAUGUUUCGAUUAUUGAUUCUGUUUCUGACUUUGUUUUAAUAAUGUAAAGAGAUUAACAUUUGAUUGAUUGAUUGAUUGAUUGAUUGAUUGAUUGAUUCUGCUCUGUCUCCUCAAACCUCCAGUGGGUCGGAUCAGAUGGCUGCUGGUACUGAACCAGGCUCUGGUUCUGGUUCUGCUGCAGGUUUCUUCCUGUUAAAAUGAAGCUUUUCCUCUCCACUGUCGCCCCCUGCUGGUCAGGAAGAGUGUGGGACAAUGACUUGAUGCUUUGUUUAGAGUUCCCUCAGGUGUCUGCAGCCAGUUUACCAGGGUGAUGAUGAUGAUGAAGGUCCCUCUGUGAAGCAAGGCUGCCCCCUGCUGGCCGAGCUGAGAACUUAGAGCGCGAAAAUACAAAUAAAACACCGGAUUAAAUUUAAACUCAUAUUCCUGCUGUUAUUAGAGUCCAUAUGAAGAAGGUCGUUGUUAGAGAACCUGCUGCUGUUCUGAUGGAUCGGCGUUGCCAUGGCUACGAGCCUGCGCUUGGACUCACCUGGACCUCCGUUCAGGCCGGGCGCCCCGCUGGCUGCUGGCUGUGUUGCCUUCAGGCGCUGAAGAUGAGGAAGAGGAGGAGCAGCGCGGGCAGGAAGUGGCGGCUGCAGCGCGACGCGCCGUUCAG